Mastomys coucha (southern multimammate mouse) is the source of this 3051-nucleotide long non-coding RNA. RefSeq lists it as uncharacterized. Lineage: Eukaryota; Metazoa; Chordata; Mammalia; Rodentia; Muridae. The transcript has 2 exons. The record is from RefSeq and is a predicted model, not a curated record.
GCACACAACAAAGAGUCUAUUCCCCCCCCCUGCUCUAUCUUUUGGACGACACGAUAAAAAAUAACCCUGUAUUUAUGCAAAUUGCAAAGUAGCGUGUGAUAAUGAAAACAAAACAGGGCUGGCCCGCAGCCAAGACAUGGCGUUGACGGGGGCUCCCGACCAUGUGGCUCCCGAUUCUUCAGGGAAAGCAGCUGUAGAGAAAUGAGACUCCGCACAGCACCCUCCUCACGGCGCGCACACCCACAUCGGAACACAUUCCGGUACCCGUCACCUUGGAGCUGGCCAAACUUGGGGAUCCAAAAAGUGGUCCUGCUUCCUAGCGGGUGUUGAGCUCUGCAGCGUCGUCCCCCACGAACCUCCCUGCCCCCUGCUCCUGAUUCCCUUUCAGGAAUUUACAAACAUUUUUCCCUAGAUCAAUAUCCGUAUUGAUUAUUCAUUGUGAGCGAGUCGUGUGUCUUUGGUGAUCCAGCUUGCAGAGGGUAGCAGCUAAAGACGGCUGCAGGGGGAAAAAUAACAGAAGGUGAGAAGGACCCAGCUCUGGCUGGGGUCUGCGGCUGUCACAUCACAGAGAGGAGGAAGAAGAAGAGAGUGGUCCAGAAUGAAAGGAUGGAGAAGGGUAGAAGAGAAAGAGGGAGCAACAGCAAGAAAGAAAGAUGUGAGGACUGCAUCUGGUCUUAGGGAUCUCAAUGGCUUGGAGGAAAGCCCCAUCAUCUUGGGUCUGCUGCUAGGUGCAAAAUGCCGUGCAUUACUCUGCUCUGGGAGUGAAAAGUGACUCACGGUUUUGGUGUCUUCCUACGUAAGAGCUUUUGGUGGGGGGAUUCCUUGGCUUGCUGACAGACAAGGAAGGACGCAGCAGCAGUGAGGUAAAAGAAGAGGAAGAAAAAAAAAAAGCAACCCAGUCCUUUCCAAGCGCCUCGCCGAGGAUGUGCACCCGUUCGGUUUGAUUUGAACAGCUUGCUGCUCUAAAUGGCAUGCGGAAGGAGGAUAAUUAAAAAGGCCAGCAUCACUUACUAAGUGAGUAAACACAAAGCCGUUCCAAACGUGCUCUCCAGCUAAUGAGGAGCUGUGAUUUCUUAUACUUCAAGGCAAAACAAGACAGGGAUGGGGGCUCAGCCGAGUGUACGUCUGCAUGGGGAUGUGGAUAUGGGGGUGGGCGGUGGUCCUUGCUGAUGGAGAUAAAUCGACUAAUUGUUGGUGAUGUUUAAAAAAGGGAUUACUGGAAAAGACGGUGAGAGGAUGACAGGAAGACAUCUUGGAUCAGAGCCAAAAAAAUAAUAAUCAAGGCAAAUCAAGUCUGCAAUUCGGAGAAAACACCCAUGGCUUGGGAAGCUCCCGAUGGGACCAUGGGAACCGCUAGAGUUCCUCAGCCAAGUCUGGGAAUAUUGCGGUGGGCACAAGAGGACAAGAUUCAGGAAAGAGUCAUGGCAUGCUGGCUUGCACAGCUAUGCCACACACUGAGGAAAAAGAAAACCCAAAUCAAAUCCACCAGACCCAAAACAGUGAAAGCCAACAUAUCCUUUGCAUUGGAGUCUUUCUGCUGGCUCAAAGUCAUUCCAUCUAUUUAAAACAAUUCCACAACGUGCCUCCUGCUAGUAGCUGCUAGUCCUCUUGCCUGUUUUCAGAAGCCGCCUCACUGUUGCAGAGUGAUAGUGGGAAGAGGAGGUUGAGGAGACUCAGUUUUCCAUUGGCUGGGCUUCUGGCAAAUUCGCCAGGUGAUUGUCUUUGCCAUUUGGACCGACCUACGGGAGCUGGUUGGGGAUUCCUCUUCUGUUGUCACCCAGCUGUGGCUUGGAUGUUAACCUCUACCACUUCACGAGGGAAUGGUCACCCCCUACUUACUUCAUUUGCUGGAUCCUUCCACUUUCAAGACUCCAUCCCUGCAAGAAGCUUAAAGCCUCCACCUGGAUUAUGUACACCCACAAGCCCCAUCUGUACUACCCUGCCCUGUAGCUUCCCCCCGCCCCAUGUUGACAAUGACCUGGUUUCCCCAUUUGACUGUGAGACGUAUAGAGGCAGAAACUUCAUCUUUACCCCUAUGUUCCCAGCAUCUUGGCAACAAACUAGAUGCUUCAUAAACCAACACUACUAUUUCUAUUUUGGGUGCCUUAGAGCCCAUUUCUUCAGCUGUAGGGUUACACGGUAAUCAGGCAGAGGGAGACACAGCCAGCAUUUCCUAUAGAUGAAGAGGGAUUUCCUAUGGCGGAGUUCUCACCUACAUUAGAUAUUUUUGACUUCUGUCCUGGGAGAGACAGGCUUGAGGGUGGUCUGUAGGUGUUAGAUGAUGUGGUAGGAGCUUUAGAGUUAAUUAGAAGCCUCAGCUACAGGCAAACUUCCUCUGCAGAGUUCCUGGGAGGAAACUUGGAAUUAACAGUUGGAGGUCACCAUUAGAAACCUGCCCUGUUCCUCUUGGGCUCUGCCUCAGGGAGCUAGUUUGCCUUGUUAUUUAUAUUUCUACUUUUCUUUUGUCGCCUUAAGUGUGGUCAUGUAGACAAGGAUCCAAGGGCCUGAGGUCACAGACUGCUUCUUUGUACAACUCCAAGAGAGCAGACUGGAGGAGCAUUGGGGAUAUGGGGGUAGGGGUGGGGCUCAACACUGGGUAGAUCUGAAGAUCAAGGAGGUCUGCCCAUACACCAUGACAGAGAUGGUUUUUUGAAGGUCUCAUCUUCCAUGACACAGAAAAUGGCAUGAGGGAUGGGCAGAGGGCUCACAAGGCCCCACUCGUGUGUGAGGAACUAUGGGCAAUCUAUGGUUGAUAAACAAGGGAGAAUUAGUGCUCUCCAGUGAGGCCCUCCAGUAUAGGUUGCCCAUGCCCUAGUGGCCAGCCCUACUCCCAUAUACCCAGGGGCAAUAUUAACUGGAUCCAGUAGGAGAGACACAAAUAUCCACUCAUAUCAGAAAAGGACCUGAGUUUGGGAAGAAGAUGGGGGGGGAUGGGAUAUGUGGCAUUGUGAUGGCAGGAAGGAAUGGAUAUGAUCAAAAUGCAUUAUAGCACUUGUGACAUUUCAAAAAUAUUCAAUAACUACAAUAAGAAAAUUGCAUGUAUCACUGGUA